This 253-nucleotide ribosomal RNA is filed under the name uncultured bacterium. Its description in RNAcentral is "partial 16S ribosomal RNA". It matches the Rfam family "Bacterial small subunit ribosomal RNA", at positions 524 to 776 of the family's 1533-position model. The record is from RNAcentral.
UACGAAGGGGGCUAGCGUUAUUCGGAAUUAUUGGGCGUAAAGGGCGCGUAGGCGGCCAUUCAAGUGACGGGUGAAAGCCCUCGGCUUAACCGAGGAACUGCCUGUCAGACUGGAUGGCUUGAGACCGGGAGAGGUGAGUGGAAUUCCCAGUGUAGCGGUGAAAUGCGUAGAUAUUGGGAGGAACACCAGUGGCGAAGGCGGCUCACUGGACCGGAACUGACGCUGAGGCGCGAAAGCGUGGGGAGCAAACAGG